GAUGAAGAACGUAGCAAAAUGCGAUAAGUAAUGUGAAUUGCAGAAUUCAGUGAAUCAUCGAAUGUUUGAACGCACAUUGCGCCCGCCAGUAUUCUGGCGGGCAUGCCUGUUCGAGCGUCAUUUCAACCCUCAAGCACAGCUUGGUGUUGGGACUCGCGUUAAUUCGCGUUCCCCAAAUUGAUUGGCGGUCACGUCGAGCUUCCAUAGCGUAGUAGUAAAACCCUCGUUACUGGUAAUCGUCGCGGCCACGCCGUUAAACCCCAACUUCUGAAUGUUGACCUCGGAUCAGGUAGGAAUACCCGCUGAACUUAAGCAUAUCAAUAUGCGGAGGA
RNAcentral lists this unclassified non-coding RNA (332 nucleotides) under soil metagenome. RNAcentral describes it as "partial contains 5.8S ribosomal RNA, internal transcribed spacer 2, and large subunit ribosomal RNA". The stretch from base 1 to 120 matches the Rfam family "5.8S ribosomal RNA", at positions 35 to 154 of the family's 154-position model. The record is from RNAcentral.